Molecule: long non-coding RNA, 1096 nt
Organism: Bos taurus (domestic cattle)
Lineage: Eukaryota; Metazoa; Chordata; Mammalia; Artiodactyla; Bovidae
Source: Ensembl
AUUCUCGAUGGGACCAUGUCUGUACCAGCCUCCUUCUGGGCACAGCUGCAAAGAACCUGAGCUGGGGGUUCAAGUACAGCUUGGUGUCUAGUGCCCGAAUCCUCCCUGAAGACUGGCGUGGCCUUGAGUCAUCGUCUGACAAGAUCUGCUAAUGGGGUCAUUGCAGACAGCCACAAACCCCCAACGUCUGAGCGGGCUGGGGCUGCUGCCAAGGGGUUUCGCCUGCCUCCACCUCCCGCCUUCUCCGGUUCCCCAUCCAAGCUGAUGCUUGUAAAGGAAACAUCUUUUCAGGCGAGGGGACUGUGUGUUUGGUUUGUCUUUGUUGCCUGGAAACUGUUGACAUCCCGAGACAUUCUGUUGCCUGCGCUGGCUCAUGAAAAAUUGAUGACUUUUUUUCUCUGUCAACAAACUCGCAGCCUGUUCACCUUGACUGGGAAGGGGCGGGAAGCUUGCUCCCUGCUCCGCUCCGCAGCUGUUUGCUUUCUUUCGAGCUGUUGAGUUUGCUUUCCUUAGAGGUGGGGGUGGGGCCAGAGACAGUGGGGCCAGCUGAGUGUGGCCGUGUGUAGGCGACUGCUGCUAAGGUGGAGAGGGCUGGCCUUGCUUCCCUCGAGUGCUCCUUCAGUUCCACCAAGUGCCUUUCCCAGCUGAUCUGAAGCACCUUUCCCUUCCGAGGCAUCCCCUGGGCAUCCCCUGCCCAGAGGCCUUCCCUGGCCUCGCCAGCCCUGGAUCCUCCUUGCCCUCUGGGGUCAGCCUGCCAGGCACGACUACUGUCCGUUUCCAUUCCUCUCGGUCUGGUUUCUCCUCUUGGCAGCAGAAUAGCCUUGCUGCCCAUCUCCCCAGACCAGCAGCACGUUAGGUUUAGGAGGGAUCUCAGAGAGCAUUUGUGGAAGAGGAAGCUCAGAGUGGCAGGGUGAUGUGACCAUCUAGUUAGCUUUUGGCCUCGUGUACAGCAUUCACUGGUGGUCUCCCCCACCAGGGAACGAACCUGUGCCCCCAGCACUGGAAGUGUUUUUCCUGUGCGUGUGUGCUCAGCCAUGUCUGACUCCUUGUGACCCGAGGAGUCUUAACCACUGGACCACCAUGGAAGUCCCAAAGA